CAUGUACUGGGGCCAAGCAGUCGGGGUUGAGAGUCUUGAGCUGCCUGCAGAAAGUGUCCAGGAAGUUUGAGAAGAUGCAAGCAAAGCGUCAUGGUGAAAAGGUUAUUGCAGGCAUUUUAGAGAUCUCUUUUGGCUUCACCCCAUGUCAACAAAAGGAGGCCUAUGUGAUUAACACAUAAAUAAAAGUACCAGCUGCAAGAACCCACAAGAAGGAUAUUUUAAAUUCUGAUUUCAGCAAACAGAGAGACACCUUAAAGUUUAAGUGUGCGAGCAGAAGACAUCACCGAGGAAAGCAUGUUUAAAGUGGAAUGAUACAUUAACAUGGACAACAAAAUCCUUAAUAUUCAGUCCAGACUGAAAUGUGUAAUGAAAAUAGUUGGAUAUUAAAGAAUUCAAGAGUGAGCAGUAUCAGCAAGGAGGAUCUCGUCCUUAUUAUUGAAGUAAGGUAAAUGUGUUUUUCUAUCAUAGUAAAUGAACGUUAAGCAAAGCAGAGAAAACAAUUGAUGAUCCACUGCAGCCAGCAAAAGGGUUCAGGAGUUCAAGACCAGCCUGGCCAACAUGGUGAAACCCCAUCUCUACUA
Molecule: long non-coding RNA, 581 nt
Filed under: Aotus nancymaae (Ma's night monkey)
Lineage: Eukaryota; Metazoa; Chordata; Mammalia; Primates; Aotidae
Description: lncRNA (ENSANAG00000039049.1)
Source: RNAcentral